GAUAAACGCUGGCGGCGUGCCUAACACAUGCAAGUCGAACGAUCCCGCAAGGGAGAAUGGCGGAAGGGUGAGUAACACGUGGGAAUCUACCUCCUCGCAGGGAACAACCUCUCGAAAGAGAGGCUAAUACCCAAAAGGGUCAGAAAUGAUCAGAGUCGAAAGGCGUGAGGAGAGGAGCCCGCGGCCCAUCAGCUAGUUGGUGAGGUAAUGGCUUACCAAGGCUACGACGGGUAGGGGAUCUGAGAGGAUGUCCCCCACACUGGAACUGAAACACGGUCCAGACGCCUACGGGUGGCAGCAGUGAGGAAUAUUGGACAAUGGGCGAAAGCCUGAUCCAGCCAUCCCGCGUGGUAGAUGAAGGCCCUCUGGGGUUGUAAAUACCCUUUUUGCAAGGGAGGAAACUCUCCGAUUCAUCGGAGCCUGACGGUACCUUGCGAAUAAGCACCGGCUAACUCCGUGCCAGCAGCCGCGGU
This 473-nucleotide ribosomal RNA is filed under the name uncultured bacterium. Its description in RNAcentral is "bacterial SSU rRNA". It matches the Rfam family "Bacterial small subunit ribosomal RNA", at positions 28 to 521 of the family's 1533-position model. The record is from RNAcentral.